RNAcentral lists this ribosomal RNA (466 nucleotides) under Vreelandella stevensii. RNAcentral's name for it is "partial 16S ribosomal RNA". It matches the Rfam family "Bacterial small subunit ribosomal RNA", at positions 338 to 796 of the family's 1533-position model. Lineage: Bacteria; Pseudomonadati; Pseudomonadota; Gammaproteobacteria; Oceanospirillales; Halomonadaceae. The record is from RNAcentral.
CCUACGGGGCGCAGCAGUGGGGAAUAUUGGACAAUGGGCGAAAGCCUGAUCCAGCCAUGCCGCGUGUGUGAAGAAGGCCUUCGGGUUGUAAAGCACUUUCAGUGGGGAAGAAAGCCUUGGGGCUAAUACCCUCGAGGAAGGACAUCACCCACAGAAGAAGCACCGGCUAACUCCGUGCCAGCAGCCGCGGUAAUACGGAGGGUGCGAGCGUUAAUCGGAAUUACUGGGCGUAAAGCGCGCGUAGGCGGUCUGAUAAGCCGGUUGUGAAAGCCCCGGGCUCAACCUGGGAACGGCAUCCGGAACUGUCAGGCUAGAGUGCAGGAGAGGAAGGUAGAAUUCCCGGUGUAGCGGUGAAAUGCGUAGAGAUCGGGAGGAAUACCAGUGGCGAAGGCGGCCUUCUGGACUGACACUGACGCUGAGGUGCGAAAGCGUGGGUAGCAAACAGGAUUAGAUACCCCGGUAGUCC